Molecule: ribosomal RNA, 468 nt
Filed under: uncultured bacterium
Lineage: Bacteria
Description: partial 16S ribosomal RNA
Rfam family: Bacterial small subunit ribosomal RNA
Source: RNAcentral
GAUGAACGCUGGCGGCGUGCUUAACACAUGCAAGUCGAACGGAAAGGCCGAAGUUUUCUUCGGUACUCGAGUGGCGAACGGGUGAGUAACACGUGGGUGACCUGCCCUGUACUUUGGGAUAAGUUCGGGAAACUGGGUCUAAUACCGGAUAUGACGUCCUCCUGGAUGGGGUUGUGGAAAGCUUUUGCGGUGUGGGGUGUGCUCGCGGCGUAUCUGAUUGUGUGUGGGGUAUUGUGCUAUCAAGGCGUCGUCGCGUAGCCGGCGUGUGAGGGUGUACGGCGACAUUGGGGGUGAGAUACAGCCCAGACACCUACGGGGGGCAGAGGUGGGGAAUAUAGCACAAUGGGGGCGAGACUGAUGCAGCGAAGCCGCGUGGGGGGUGAGGGCGUUCGGGUUGUAAACUCCGUUCGCGCUCGACGAAGCCUUUUGGUGACGGUAGGUUGAGAAGAAGCACCGGCUAACUACGUG